Falco peregrinus (peregrine falcon) is the source of this 5530-nucleotide RNA transcript. It is a transcript of the gene named RIC8 guanine nucleotide exchange factor B, with no coding region annotated. The record is from RefSeq and is a predicted model, not a curated record. NCBI's taxonomy places the organism in Eukaryota, Metazoa, Chordata, Aves, Falconiformes, Falconidae. The transcript is spliced from 11 exons.
GGGUGGGAGGUCAGGGCGCGGCGGAGCGGCGGCUGCUGCCGGCGGAGGAGCGGGCGGCGGCCGGCGGGCAUGGAGCUGGGCGCGGUGCUGGAGGCCGUGGAGGGGCGCGGUAGCGCCGAGGCGGUGGAGCGGGUCCUGGCGCGGUACAACGAGGAGAAUAGGACCAUUUUCAGAUUUGAUCCAGAAGAUGAAGACAAAAGAAAGAAACUGUGUGAAGGAAUUCUAAACAUCCUUGAAAAGGACACAAAAACUUCAUGUCAAGUUGCCUGCCUGGAGGCCCUCCGGAUUCUCUCUAGGGACAAGAAGGUUUUAGUGCCUGUAACCACGAAGAGGAACAUGCAGAUCCUUAUGAGGCUAGCAAAGCUGGACAGUGUGGAAGAUCCUUUGGAGAGAGUGUCUGAAUUUCCUGUUAUAGUAGAAGCUUUAAAAUGCCUCUGUAACAUAAUUUUUAAUAGUGCUGUUGCACAGAAGCUCAGUUUGGAACUGAAUCUUGCAGCUAUGCUCUGUAGUCUUCUGGAGAAAUGCAAGGACCAACAGUUUGUUGAUGACAUUAAAUGCUUUGAUUUGCGUCUCCUCUUCCUCUUGUCGCUUCUGCACACGGAUAUUAGAUCACAGUUGCGUCGGGAACUACAAGGUGUGCAAGUUUUGACUCGGGCUUUGGAAAGCUCCCUCAGUGUAAGAUGGAUGGAAGAAUAUAAAGCAGCAGAAGAUCGUGGCAGGCCUCCUCUAUCUUUGCAAGAGACAGAUUGUGCCAUUGAGGCGCUAAAGGCUCUUUUUAAUGUAACGCUUGACAGUUGGAAUGUCCACAGCGAGAAUGAAUCUCAUCAAUUUCGUUACAUGGCUGCCAUCCUUCGACACUGCUUAUUAACCACGGGCCCUACUGAAGACAAAACUGAAGAGUUGCACAGCAAUGCAAUCAACCUCUUAAGCAACGUUCCUGUUUCCUGCUUGGAUGUUCUUACUAAUUCAUCAUCCCAAGAGGAAACAGAUAUAAAAUACAAUGGUAUGAAUAUGGGAGCAAUUCAAAUUUUACUGGAUUUCAUGGAGAAGAGAAUAGACAAGGGAAGCAGCUAUAGAGAAGGUCUGACUCCAGUUCUCAGUUUAUUAACUGAAUGCUGCCGAACUCAUAGGAAUAUCAGGAAGUUUAUCAAAGCUCAAGUAUUGCCUCCACUAAGAGAUGUAUCAAAUCGUCCAGAAGUUGGCACAACAGUGAGAAACAAGCUUGUACGCCUUAUGACACAUGUUGACCUUGGAGUAAAGCAAAUUGCAGCAGAAUUCCUUUUUGUUCUUUGUAAAGAGAGAGUUGACAGCUUGUUAAAAUAUACAGGCUAUGGUAAUGCAGCAGGACUGCUGGCAGCAAGGGGCUUGUUAGCAGGAGGAAGAGGAGAUCAUUGGUACUCGGAUGAUGAAGAUACAGAUACAGAAGAAUACAAAUCUGCAAAGCCAAACAUUAACCUUAUCACUGGUCACUUAGAAGAACCAAUGCCCAAUCCGAUGGAUGAAAUGACAGAAGAACAGAAAGAAUACGAAGCUAUGAAGCUUGUCAACAUGUUUGAUAAACUUUCCAGAGAUGAGCUUAUAAAACCAAUGGGAGUGCGGCCGGAUGGUACAAUGGCUCCUUUGGAAGAAGCAGUCAGCCAGUACCAUACCAACAAGCAAGACAGUUCAGAUUCAGACUAAAGCAUCACCUGCUUCACUCUCAAUUCUCCUCUAAUCCACACUUUUCCUUAGAGCCACAACAUCUUUUAUCUAGGCAUUUUACUCUCACAUUUAGCCAGCGUCACUUUAACUGUUCUAUUACUUGGGAUAUAUAAAUGAUGGGUCCGGUGGUGUAAUGUCUGAAUUUUUAUUAUGUCUGUUGAAAGAACAUAUCAAUUUUAUUAGUUGAUGAUUUUUAUUAAUUUAAAACUAAACGUAUUUCAAAGGGAUAAAAAGUGAAAGCCUACAAUGUAAAAUAAAACACAGAUGCUUUAAUUUUACAGAAUUCUGUUUUCUAAACUCUGUAGGUUUUCCCAUUCUUGAAAUUUUAUUUUUUUGUAUUGUCUUGCUAGUCUCUCCCUUUCUAUAAUUGUAAUUAAAGAAGGUGUUUGCUUGAUGGCAUUAGGAGCAGAGGGUGUUUAAACUCAGAAGUCUGACUGACUUAUGAAGCUGCUUUAAAUGGCAUUCAGCUGCAAUUUCAGAGAUUUUUAAAGUGUCAUUGGAUUUCUUACUGCUAAACACUUCUGUGGUUAAACUGCUGCUUAAGAUUUUACCAAUGUGUCAAGUCACUGACUGCUGCUAAAAUUACCUUUAAAUUGGGAACAAGAUGAGGUAUGAUGAAUGUCCUCCCUACCUCCCCUCCCCCAUUAUGACCACAUGAAUAUACCUCCCCCUCCCAUCUUUGGUUAAGUAAAAACAUCCCUAUUCAAAACAGCAUUCAAGUAUGUACACUUAAAUGUUGUCAUGAAUGGGAGCGGACUAAAGUGAAGUGCACGUGCAAGCGUUUUACUGAAUUGGGGCCUACUUUUGCAGAUUAAUGGCUGUGCCUCACUUGAAGGGAAGUCAAACUGAUCAACAAAUAUUUCCUUUCAGGGAGAACUUAGAAAGCGAUGGGAUAGAGAGGGGAAUUUGGGAAGGAGAAGAAAGUCACUUUCAACCCUGUACUCUCGUAAAACAAAGAUUAAAGUUUUAGAAGCGUCCACAUGCUACUCCUUGUGAACCUUUCAGAGGCUGGUGAAAGUUUCCCUGUUUUUCCUAUGACUUGAGACUGGUUCCCUGAACUAAGAAAGCUGCUGUUCAAAGACCUUGUAAAGGGAGGACUUGGUAUGAAAUCAUGCUGCGGUUUCCCGUAGAGGAGCUUGUACAGAUCUCCUUAGUCUUCUGAAAGGACUAAAAGGAAAUAAUGCACUGCUGUCCUCUCAGCAGUUCAGUUUGUUUUCCCAAAAGACGCUGCCUAGCCAUACCAAUGCACCUUUUUUUUAAAAAAAAAAUGGGGGGGAGGGGACAGACAGACCCUUAGGGACAUUAAUUGUAUACAUUUCUUCAUGCUGGGACCUUUCUGAAUCUUAAAAUAAUUGAUGCUUUGGGUUAUGAUGUGAUCGGGGCUAUAUUGUCUGCUGCGUUCCACAUGGAGCAUGACAAUUUGCGUAGGGAGAAAAGGAAGCCAGCUACUGUUCCCACGUAGCAACAGCUAAAGCAAACCCCACCAAUGUAUUGAUAAUACUCUAAUCAUGCCAAUUAUGUAUGAAUCCAAAAGAGGGAAGGAAGAAUUGCCUAGGAGCAAGAAAAACACUUAGCUGCUUCUAAGCUGGGUCUCAGAAAUGUAAUUUUGGGUCUAACAUCAUCCACUGACUACUUUGAGCCCAGCACAGGCAAGUAUUAAGUACACUGCAAGCGCAAAGAAUUUAUGAACCCUCCCCAAGAAGCAAAACUUAACUAGCUCUGUUAAUAAGGAGUUGAGUCCUGUCCAGAUACUGGCUGAGGCUGUUCCUUGGGGCUGGAGAAGCAGUUGUUUCAGUAAUAGGCUUUUGUAUGGGUUGCUAUAGGGGGUUGAGUACGGAGCAAGAAAAAGAGCAAAAUGUCAAAUUUGUUGUUUUACAAGGUGUAGUAUAUGCUCCUACAAUUAGCUGGCUAAAGAUAUUAAUAAAACAGUAAUGGCUCCAGAGACCUCAUUAGAAAUGGUGUAGCGUGAGGCUUUUGUGGUCUGGCUGCUGUCAAUUGCAACAGGGCAACAAUAGUUGCAAUAAACAGUUCUUCUGUUUAGUUUAUCUUGGAAAAUAUGUGCUCAUAGUAGAUUUUACAGACAUGAGAUGCUGCUGCAAUUAAAAAGAAAGAAAAUGAAGACCAAGCAUAAGAGGAUUCAGGCACAACCUUCUAGCUCAAGAGUGAUUUUCAUAAUUGGGUUGCCUGUAGUGCAGGUUGAUCUAGUUAAAUGAAUAAUUUCUAUUAGUGCAGUAUCCUAAAGCAUCUCUUGUUCCAAGAUGAUAGUUUGUGGAAGGGGUGCUGCAAGAUUUUUGGCUUAUCUUGGAAAUGUAACGGGUCCAUCCUUAGCUGCACUGGCUGGAGAUCUGGGAAAAUCUCAGGACGAUGUUCCUCCAACACAACAGUGCAUCUGCUUCCUUGUGUGCUAUAUGAUGUUUUCUCUUCAAGGUAACCAUGCAGAAGUUAAGGUUUCUCUUGGAUGAGAGUCGGGAGAAAAGUAGAGUAUUUGGUGAUUUAAAAAACAAAAAAGCUCCCUGGACUUUGUAUUUACUGUGAAAUCAGGAUUUGCUCCUGAGGUUAUUUUCAAAGUUGAACCUCCAAAAUUGGAGGCUUGGGUGACUGAAACUUAACUUAAACCAGCAAACUGGGCAGUGAACCUGACCAGUUUUUGGAAUGCCAUCUCUUUCCAACAGAGUGCGGAGGUGCUGCAUCUGCGUUUGAGUGUCUAAAUUCCUGUCUGAUGUGAGCAUGAGAAUCUGCUGCAACCUGUAAUGUUUUAAUACCUAGUAAUCUCAAGCCUGGAGAGGUGUGACUGCCUCUGCUAGCAGUAGUUCUGAUAGAGUCACCAUAUAUGUAUUUGACUAUGCAUUUCAUUCCACAUGGUGUGAGCUAUCCUGUGUUAUAUGAAAUAAUGAUAUUUGAUUAUAUAUGCUUUCAUUUUUCCUCCGAAACACUUGAGUAUAGUUGACUAAGAAAAUACUGUAAUCAGAAAAAGGAACCCUUCUGAUAGAUUUUCUGGUGCUGACUGUAAAGGCCAGCAGGUUUCAGAGACAUGUACCUUUCAUUCCCAAAACCUUUCACAGUCAGUCCCAAAUACAAAAAAGUGUGUUUCAAUCUUUAUUUUGGUAUCAACAGGCCAGAGUAACACAGUUCUCAUUAAAGCUUGUCAAUGAUUUGGAAGCUUUGCUUUUCUUUGUUUCCCAUUAGAGUUAUGAAACAAAAGAUGAUGGGAAAUUGCUGAAAUUGGUCAGAAUAAUUUGUUCUUUUGCAAAAUAAUGCAGAUGCAUUUGUUUAAAUGCUCAUGAAAACUUCCUGGCAGGUAUUCUCAAAUACUAAUUGAAACUUUAUGUGCCCAAAAAGUGGUUUUCAGGAAAAAAGGACAUUUACAAUCUGUUAAAAAUGUUGUUGUGAGAAAAUUACCAGAACUUUAAAGAAAUUUGCCAAAGAGGAAAACCACAUUAGCUUCGAUGUUUUGAAUAUAGAACACUGCUGUAUAUGUGUGUGGCCAAAGUAGAUUUUUCACCGUAUAUCUGGAGUUUUUCCAAGUUCCUGAAAAUCUGCAAUGGCUUUUAAAAAAGAGUGAGCACAUAACUGGGCAAGAGUGUAUUUCUGUUACAGUUCUUCAAGCAGCCUCUACCUGGGUGAAAAAUUGGUUGUCAGAGGUGGCUUUAAGGAAGAGAAUAUUACAGACAAGCCGUCCUAUUAGUUGGUUGCCAAGCACCCUAGUCCGAAAGAGGAAAGUAAACCCCAAAGCAUACAAGAUCCCCAGUCUCCUGAAGGAGCGUUCCACAACAUUGUCCUUCACCUUAUUACCACAAAACAGCUAAUAAAAUCCUGUGCUUUAAUAAGG